CCACACAUAAGAAUCCCAGGCAAAAUUUUGUAGACUCCAUGAUCUUAUCUUUGCACCUCAACGUAAUCAUAAAACACUUGGAAGUCUAUUCAUCUCAUAUUACAUGUAAAUCAAGUGUUAUAUACCUAACAAAUUUGAACUUGUAAUUCGCAAACACUAAUUUAACAAACAAUGCAAGAACAUGCAGCUCAACUAAAACACAAAGAACAAACAAAUAUGUGAGCCAGCAGAUCAAGAAUAGGCACAAGAAGAGAAGAGGAGACUGGACUUACAGGCGGAUCAACUAGAGAGGAAGGCAAUCUAAGAGGCAAACCAUAUGGUUAAAGCAAUAACGGUGACACGCUAAGACGAAGACAGCCCC
Long non-coding RNA from Rhododendron vialii, 361 nucleotides. RefSeq lists it as uncharacterized. NCBI's taxonomy places the organism in Eukaryota, Viridiplantae, Streptophyta, Magnoliopsida, Ericales, Ericaceae. The record is from RefSeq and is a predicted model, not a curated record. The transcript is spliced from 2 exons.